ACAUGCAAGUCGAACGAACUUAACCAUUAGUUUACUAUUGGAGCGGUUAGUGGCGGACUGGUGAGUAACACGUAAGCAACCUGCCUAUCAGAGGGGAACAACAGUUAGAAAUGACUGCUAAUACCGCAUAUGCCUUAGAAUCACAUGGUUCAAAAGGGAAAGGAGCAAUCCGCUGAUAGAUGGGCUUGCGUCUGAUUAGCUAGUUGGUGGGGUAAUGGCCUACCAAGGCGACGAUCAGUAGCCGAACUGAGAGGUUGAACGGCCACAUUGGGACUGAGAUACGGCCCAGACUCCUACGGGAGGCAGCAGUCGGGAAUAUUGCGCAAUGGAGGAAACUCUGACGCAGUGACGCCGCGUGCAGGAAGAAGGUUUUCGGAUUGUAAACUGCUUUAGACAGGGAAGAACAAAGACAGUACCUGUAGAAUAAGCUCCGGCUAACUACGUGCCAGCAGCCGCGGUAAUACGUAGGGAGCGAGCGUUAUCCGGAUUUAUUGGGUGUAAAGGGUGCGUAGACGGGAAGUCAAGUUAGUUGUGAAAUCCCUCGGCUUAACUGAGGAACUGCAACUAAAACUGAUUUUCUUGAGUACUGGAGAGGAAAGUGGAAUUCCUAGUGUAGCGGUGAAAUGCGUAGAUAUUAGGAGGAACACCGGUGGCGAAGGCGACUUUCUGGACAGAAACUGACGUUGAGGCACGAAAGUGUGGGGAGCAAACAGGAUUAGAUACCCUGGUAGUCCACACCGUAAACGAUGGAUACUAGGUGUAGGGGAUAUUAAAAUUCUCUGUGCCGCCGCUAACGCAAUAAGUAUCCCACCUGGGGAGUACGGCCGCAAGGUUGAAACUCAAAGGAAUUGACGGGGG
This 858-nucleotide ribosomal RNA is filed under the name uncultured bacterium. RNAcentral describes it as "bacterial SSU rRNA". It matches the Rfam family "Bacterial small subunit ribosomal RNA", at positions 53 to 919 of the family's 1533-position model. The record is from RNAcentral.